GGAAUUUUGGACAUGGGCGCAGCCUGAUCCAGCAAUGCCGCGUGAGUGAAGAAGGCCUUCGGGUUGUAAAGCUCUUUUGUCAGGGAAGAAACGGUGGACUCUAAUACAGAUCACUAAUGACGGUACCUGAAGAAUAAGCACCGGCUAACUACGUG
RNAcentral lists this ribosomal RNA (155 nucleotides) under uncultured bacterium. RNAcentral describes it as "partial 16S ribosomal RNA". It matches the Rfam family "Bacterial small subunit ribosomal RNA", at positions 358 to 507 of the family's 1533-position model. The record is from RNAcentral.